UAAGUACAAGUCUCCGCCACCACCAGUGUACAAGUACAAGUCACCACCCCCACCACCACCAGUUUACAAGUACAAAUCUCCACCACCACCUGUCUAUAAGUACAAGUCUCCUCCUCCACCACCUCCAGUUUACAAAUACAAAUCUCCACCACCACCUGUGUACAAGUACAAGUCUCCUCCACCACCACCUCCAGUUUACAAAUACAAAUCNAUAAUAAAUACAAUCCUAGUUAAUUAUACAUGUAGUAUUUAUUUUGUAAUAAUGAUCCCCUUUAUUUAUUUUAUUAUUUAUGAGAAAAUGUAUACAUGUGUAAAAAACCUAAAGUAUGAUCACAUGCUUUCUACUUUUCUUCUGGCUUUCGAUUUUUCGGUAAUAAAAUACUAAUAUAACAUCUUUCUAGAACAACUAUACAGUCGUUAUUUUAUUUUUUCUCUGGUAGACUAAGAUUAACGAACCAAGGAAAAAGUCCCCAAACAGCGGCUAAAAUAAAAAAUUUAGGAGUUUCUAUAAUAAUUUCAACUUGAUAUAUAUUUAUAAUAAUUGAGUACAUAAAUAAAUAUUAUAAUAUUUAAUAAAUUUCUUUAUAUAUAUGAGAUAUUAAUGAUAGUCAGAAUUGUUUUAUUGAGUUAAUAUUAUGAAAAGUAAAAGAAAUUAAAGGAAGUUCAACAUUCAUUAUGUAUACAUAAAAAAUAAUUUUAAUUAUAUAUAAAUAACGUAAUUUUUCUUCAAAGUGGGCUUGAAUAAACACUUAAAUUAUUAGAUUCUAUAACUCCUUCCUUGCGUAAAAACUACUGAUUUUUGUGAACUCAUAUAUUAUAUAGUGAAUCCACCCUUGAGCCCCCACCUUCCCAAAGAACUAUUACGUGAAAAUGACAUUCGAAAUUUACAUGCACGUAAAGUGGGUUAGAAUAACGAAAACCAAGUUGAUUGGAUAACAAGAAAUUAUGAGUGAUAUUCUGAGGUCCCUCUUCAUUAAAUUCAUCUUGUAUUCAUUAUUUUGGUAAAUAAAAUGAGAAAAUAUAAGCAUUAACACAAAUUUUCAAAGUCAUGUGUAAGAACACUUGUGAAGACAAAAAUUAUAUAAGUGGUUAAUUUUCUUGCCUCAGCAGCAAUAAUAGAAUAGUCUCCCAAGUCCAGGUACAGUUUUCAUUAAUUUUAUUUUAGUUAAUAAUAGAGUGCCAGCUCAAUCUACUAUAUUAAAAUGAAUAAGCAAAAUUAUAAUUAAUUAAUUAAUAUAUCAGUGAUUAUGAGUGAUUAGUUGAAGCCUUGGGUUGAGCUAUAAAAGCAGGGUUUGGGGGGAUACAUUGGCAGAGCAAACAUGGCUAAAAUAGUCUAUCUUCUUACCACUCUUUUAGUGGCUUUAGUGUCCCUUAGCUUCCCUUCAGAAUGCAAAGCAAAUUACUACUAUACAUCUCCACCCCCACCAACCCCAGUUUAUAAGUACAAGUCUCCGCCACCACCAGUGUACAAGUACAAGUCACCACCCCCACCACCACCAGUUUACAAGUACAAAUCUCCACCACCACCUGUCUAUAAGUACAAGUCUCCUCCUCCACCACCUCCAGUUUACAAAUACAAAUCUCCACCACCACCUGUGUACAAGUACAAGUCUCCUCCACCACCACCUCCAGUUUACAAAUACAAAUCUCCACCACCACCUGUCUACAAGUACAAGUCUCCUCCUCCACCACCUCCAGUUUACAAGUACAAAUCUCCACCACCACC
RNAcentral lists this long non-coding RNA (1726 nucleotides) under Solanum pimpinellifolium. RNAcentral's name for it is "long non-coding RNA (SPIM_LNC000101)". The record is from RNAcentral. Lineage: Eukaryota; Viridiplantae; Streptophyta; Magnoliopsida; Solanales; Solanaceae.